Molecule: ribosomal RNA, 253 nt
Filed under: uncultured bacterium
Lineage: Bacteria
Description: partial 16S ribosomal RNA
Rfam family: Bacterial small subunit ribosomal RNA
Source: RNAcentral
UACGGAGGGUGCAAGCGUUAUCCGGAUUUAUUGGGUUUAAAGGGUCCGUAGGUGGGUUUGUAAGUCAGUGGUGAAAGCCUAUCGCUUAACGAUAGAACUGCCAUUGAUACUGCAAGUCUUGAGUGAAUUUGAAGUAGCUAGAAUAUGUAGUGUAGCGGUGAAAUGCAUAGAUAUUACAUAGAAUACCGAUUGCGAAGGCAGGUUACUAAAAUUAUACUGACACUGAUGGACGAAAGCGUGGGGAGCGAACAGG